GAUGAACGCUGGCGGCGUGCCUAAUACAUGCAAGUCGAGCGAACAGAUAAGGAGCUUGCUCCUUUGACGUUAGCGGCGGACGGGUGAGUAACACGUGGGUAACCUACCUAUAAGACUGGGAUAACUCCGGGAAACCGGGGCUAAUGCCGGAUAACAUUUAGAACCGCAUGGUUCUAAAGUGAAAGAUGGUUUUGCUAUCACUUAUAGAUGGACCCGCGCCGUAUUAGCUAGUUGGUAAGGUAACGGCUUACCAAGGCAACGAUACGUAGCCGACCUGAGAGGGUGAUCGGCCACACUGGAACUGGGACACGGUCCAGACUCCUACGGGAGGCAGCAGUAGGGAAUCUUCCGCAAUGGGCGAAAGCCUGACGGAGCAACGCCGCGUGAGUGAUGAAGGUCUUCGGAUCGUAAAACUCUGUUAUUAGGGAAGAACAAAUGUGUAAGUAACUGUGCACGUCUUGACGGUACCUAAUCAGAAAGCCACGGCUAACUACGUG
RNAcentral lists this ribosomal RNA (497 nucleotides) under uncultured bacterium. RNAcentral's name for it is "partial 16S ribosomal RNA". It matches the Rfam family "Bacterial small subunit ribosomal RNA", at positions 28 to 507 of the family's 1533-position model. The record is from RNAcentral.